This 1470-nucleotide ribosomal RNA is filed under the name metagenome. RNAcentral's name for it is "bacterial SSU rRNA". It matches the Rfam family "Bacterial small subunit ribosomal RNA". The record is from RNAcentral.
AGAGUUUGAUCCUGGCUCAGGACGAACGCUGGCGGCACGCUUAACACAUGCAAGUCGAACGAGAGAAGAGGAGCUUGCUUUUCUGAUCUAGUGGCGGACGGGUGAGUAACACGUGAGCAAUCUGCCUUUCAGAGGGGGAUACCGAUUGGAAACGAUCGUUAAUACCGCAUAACAUAAUUGAACCGCAUGAUUUGAUUAUCAAAGAUUUAUCGCUGAAAGAUGAGCCCGCGUCUGAUUAGCUAGUUGGUAAGGUAACGGCUUACCAAGGCGACGAUCAGUAGCCGGACUGAGAGGUUGAUCGGCCACAUUGGGACUGAGACACGGCCCAGACUCCUACGGGAGGCAGCAGUGGGGAAUAUUGCACAAUGGAGGAAACUCUGAUGCAGCGAUGCCGCGUGAGGGAAGAAGGUUUUAGGAUUGUAAACCUCUGUCUUCAGGGACGAAAAAAGACGGUACCUGAGGAGGAAGCUCCGGCUAACUACGUGCCAGCAGCCGCGGUAAUACGUAGGGAGCGAGCGUUGUCCGGAAUUACUGGGUGUAAAGGGAGCGUAGGCGGGAUCGCAAGUCAGAUGUGAAAACUAUGGGCUUAACCCAUAAACUGCAUUUGAAACUGUGGUUCUUGAGUGAAGUAGAGGUAAGCGGAAUUCCUAGUGUAGCGGUGAAAUGCGUAGAUAUUAGGAGGAACAUCAGUGGCGAAGGCGGCUUACUGGGCUUUAACUGACGCUGAGGCUCGAAAGCGUGGGGAGCAAACAGGAUUAGAUACCCUGGUAGUCCACGCCGUAAACGAUGAUUACUAGGUGUGGGGGGACUGACCCCUUCCGUGCCGCAGCAAACGCAAUAAGUAAUCCACCUGGGGAGUACGACCGCAAGGUUGAAACUCAAAGGAAUUGACGGGGGCCCGCACAAGCAGUGGAGUAUGUGGAUUAAUUCGAAGCAACGCGAAGAACCUUACCAGGUCUUGACAUCGUAUGCAUAGCUCAGAGAUGAGUGAAAUCUCCUCGGAGACAUAUAGACAGGUGGUGCAUGGUUGUCGUCAGCUCGUGUCGUGAGAUGUUGGGUUAAGUCCCGCAACGAGCGCAACCCUUACUGUUAGUUGCUAUGCAAGAGCACUCUAGCAGGACUGCCGUUGACAAAACGGAGGAAGGUGGGGAUGACGUCAAAUCAUCAUGCCCCUUAUGACCUGGGCCUCACACGUACUACAAUGGCUGUCAACAGAGGGAAGCAAAGCCGCGAGGUGGAGCGAACCCCUAAAAGCAGUCUUAGUUCGGAUUGUAGGCUGCAACCCGCCUACAUGAAGUCGGAAUUGCUAGUAAUCGCAGAUCAGCAUGCUGCGGUGAAUACGUUCCCGGGCCUUGUACACACCGCCCGUCACGCCAUGGGAGUCGGUAACACCCGAAGCCUGUAGUCUAACCGCAAGGAGGACGCAGUCGAAGGUGGGAUUGAUGACUGGGGUGAAGUCGUAACAAGGUA